This 797-nucleotide ribosomal RNA is filed under the name Virgibacillus sp. RNAcentral's name for it is "bacterial SSU rRNA". It matches the Rfam family "Bacterial small subunit ribosomal RNA", at positions 40 to 824 of the family's 1533-position model. Lineage: Bacteria; Bacillati; Bacillota; Bacilli; Caryophanales; Bacillaceae. The record is from RNAcentral.
UCGAGCGCGGGAAGCAGGCAGAUCCUCUUCGGAGGUGACGCCNGUGGAACGAGCGGCGGACGGGUGAGUAACACGUGGGCAACCUGCCUGUAAGAUUGGGAUAACCCCGGGAAACCGGGGCUAAUACCGGAUAAUACUUUUCGUUGCAUAACGAGAAGUUGAAAGGCGGCUUUUAGCUGUCACUUACAGAUGGGCCCGCGGCGCAUUAGCUAGUUGGUAAGGUAACGGCUUACCAAGGCGACGAUGCGUAGCCGACCUGAGAGGGUGAUCGGCCACACUGGGACUGAGACACGGCCCAGACUCCUACGGGAGGCAGCAGUAGGGAAUCUUCCGCAAUGGACGAAAGUCUGACGGAGCAACGCCGCGUGAGUGAUGAAGGUUUUCGGAUCGUAAAACUCUGUUGUCAGGGAAGAACAAGUGCCGUUCAAAUAGGGCGGCACCUUGACGGUACCUGACCAGAAAGCCCCGGCUAACUACGUGCCAGCAGCCGCGGUAAUACGUAGGGGGCAAGCGUUGUCCGGAAUUAUUGGGCGUAAAGCGCGCGCAGGCGGUCCUUUAAGUCUGAUGUGAAAGCCCACGGCUUAACCGUGGAGGGCCAUUGGAAACUGGAGGACUUGAGUACAGAAGAGGAGAGUGGAAUUCCACGUGUAGCGGUGAAAUGCGUAGAGAUGUGGAGGAACACCAGUGGCGAAGGCGACUCUCUGGUCUGUAACUGACGCUGAGGUGCGAAAGCGUGGGGAGCGAACAGGAUUAGAUACCCUGGUAGUCCACGCCGUAAACGAUGAGUGCUAGGUGUU